Molecule: ribosomal RNA, 497 nt
Filed under: uncultured bacterium
Lineage: Bacteria
Description: partial 16S ribosomal RNA
Rfam family: Bacterial small subunit ribosomal RNA
Source: RNAcentral
GAUGAACGCUGGCGGCGUGCCUAAUACAUGCAAGUCGAGCGAACGGACGAGAAUCUUGCUUCUCUGAUGUUAGCGGCGGACGGGUGAGUAACACGUGGAUAACCUACCUAUAAGACUGGGAUAACUUCGGGAAACCGGCGCUAAUACCGGAUAAUAUUUUGAACCGCAUGGUUCAAAAGUGAAAGACGGUCUUGCUGUCACUUAUAGAUGGAUCCGCGCUGCAUUAGCUAGUUGGUAAGGUAACGGCUUACCAAGGCAACGAUGCAUAGACGACCUGAGAGGGUGAUAGGCCACACUGGAACUGAGACACGGUCCAGACUCCUACGGGAGGGAGCAGUAGGGAAUCUUCCGCAAUGGGCGAAAGCAUGACGGAGCAACGCCGCGUGAGUGAUGAAGGUCUUCGGAUCGUAAAACUCUGUUAUUAGGGAAGAACAGAUGUGUAAGUAACUGUGCACAUCUUGACGGUACCUAAUCAGAAAGCCACGGCUAACUACGUG